UACGGAGGGUGCGAGCGUUGUCCGGAAUCACUGGGCGUAAAGGGCGCGUAGGUGGCGCGAGGAGUCAACGGUGAAAGCUCGGCGCUCAACGCCGAGUCGGCCGUCGAUACUCUCGUGCUUGAGCACUGUAGAGGCAGAUGGAAUUCCGGGUGUAGCGGUGGAAUGCGUAGAGAUCCGGAAGAACACCGGUGGCGAAGGCGGUCUGCUGGGCAGUUGCUGACGCUGAGGCGCGACAGCGUGGGGAGCAAACAGG
Molecule: ribosomal RNA, 253 nt
Filed under: uncultured bacterium
Lineage: Bacteria
Description: partial 16S ribosomal RNA
Rfam family: Bacterial small subunit ribosomal RNA
Source: RNAcentral